Molecule: transfer RNA, 67 nt
Filed under: Moschus cupreus (Kashmir muskdeer)
Lineage: Eukaryota; Metazoa; Chordata; Mammalia; Artiodactyla; Moschidae
Description: tRNA-Val
Rfam family: tRNA
About the family: Transfer RNA (tRNA) molecules are approximately 80 nucleotides in length. Their secondary structure includes four short double-helical elements and three loops (D, anti-codon, and T loops).
Source: RNAcentral
CAAGAUAUAGCUUAAACAAAGCACCUAGUUUACACCUAGAAGAUUUCAUAUACCACGGAUAUCUUGA